GGAGAAGUGCCAGAGUGGUCGAAUGGGCCUGACUCGAAAUCAGGUGACGGGGCAACUCGUCCGGGGGUUCGAAUCCCUCCUUCUCCGCCA
This 90-nucleotide transfer RNA is filed under the name Pelagicoccus sp. SDUM812003. RNAcentral describes it as "tRNA-Ser". It matches the Rfam family "tRNA". Rfam says of the family: Transfer RNA (tRNA) molecules are approximately 80 nucleotides in length. The record is from RNAcentral. Lineage: Bacteria; Pseudomonadati; Verrucomicrobiota; Opitutia; Puniceicoccales; Pelagicoccaceae.